This 3281-nucleotide long non-coding RNA is filed under the name Nicotiana benthamiana. Its description in RNAcentral is "long non-coding RNA (NBEN_LNC013265)". Lineage: Eukaryota; Viridiplantae; Streptophyta; Magnoliopsida; Solanales; Solanaceae. The record is from RNAcentral.
CCUUCUUUCAAACACAACUUACUUUCUGUCCACAAAUUAGUAAAACAGUUGCACUGUAUAGUCUUGUUUACUGCAAUUUCCUGUUUCCCUCACAUGUUACAGGCCCCUUCUCUGAAGAUGCCCCUGGAUCUUGGUAAAGAGGAGGUUGGUCUGUACAAGUUUGCUUGGGUGCCACCUUCACAUUCUUCUUUUACUAGUUGCACAUCUGUUUCUGUAUGUUCCUUUUCUGAUUCUUCUGAUCCUGUAUCUUCUUCAAGCCAUAAGACUGUUGCUUUACCUUUAAAUGUAAAUAGCUCCAUUUGUAAUAAUGCUGAUGCAAAUGACAUGAAUUACAUUUGGCAUUUAAGACUGGCUCAUAUUCCUUUUGCAAAUAUGAAACACAUUUCUGCUUUGUCAUUUUCCUUUGCUUCUAAACAACCAUUUCCUUGUUCUAUUUGUCCUAUGGCUAGGCAAAUCAGGUUUCCCUUCCCUGAUAGUUCAAUCAGUACAAGUAGACAUUUCCAAUUAAUUUAUGUAGACACUUGGGGUCCUUACCACACACCCACCUCUUCUGGCUCAAGAUAUUUUCUUACAAUAGUCGAUGAUUUUUCUAGAGCCACCUGGACACAUCUACUCGGGUCUAAAAGCAAUGCUUUCUGCAUGAUCAAGUCUUUUCUGUCUAUGGUUAAAACUCAGUUUAAUGCAACUGUCCAAACUAUAAGAAGUGAUAAUGCCUUGGAAUUGGGGUCUAGCCUUGAUGGUACUUCUUUCUUCAACCAACAAGGCAUUAUUCAUCAAACUAUUUGUCCCCACACUCCUCAACAAAAUGGUGUUGAUGAAAGAAAACAUAGGACACUUCUUGAAGCUUGUAGAGCCUUACUUUUUCAAUCCAAGUUACCCAUAUCCUUCCGGGGGGACUGUUUACUAACUGCUACAUACUUGCUUAAUAGGUUACCAUCCAGGAUCCUUCACAACAAAUCCCCUUAUGAAAUAUUAUAUGGAACGGCAACUACUUACUCACAUUUAAGGGCAUUUGGUUGUCUUGCCUAUGCUAAUGCCCCUAUUCCACAAAGGGAUAAGCUAAACCUAGGGCAACUUCAUGUGUUUUUCUGGGAUAUCCUUUUUCCAAAAAGGGUUACAAGUUAUAUGAUCUAGCUUUCAAAAAGUAUUUUGUGUCUAGGGAUGUUGUAUUUCAUGAAACUUGUUUUCCUUUUGCAAUUGUUUCUGCUAUUACCUCUGGUCCUUCUGUUUUCUCUUCUCCACCUCCUGUUGUCCCUUCUCCUGGUCACCAACAUUCUGAGACAGACAUUUCUGUUCCAACUUGUUCUUCUCUCCCUUCUCCUUCUGCACCUUUUCCUUCUACUUCCAGUUCUGCUCCCUCUUCUGUUCCUUCCUCAAUACUUUCUGAACUUAUUCCUUAUGCUUCCAGUCCACCCUUUAAUCCUGACUUACUUCCAGUUCUGCUCCCUCUUAUGUUCCUUCCUCAAUACUUUCUGAACUUAUUCCUUCUGCUUCCAGUCCACCCUUUAAUCCUGACAUUUCUCCUCCUGUUAUUUCUUCCCCUACAGCACCUACUGUCAACAGAAGAUCUGGAAGGCAACACACCGCUCCUUCUUAUGUCAAAGAUUAUGUUUGUCAGCUACCUUCCUUUUCUGGCUCUUCUUCAUCUGCUUCUCUUUUGGAAUCUGAACCUCUUUAUUAUUCUCAAGCUGCAUCAGUCCCAGCCUAGCAGGAUGCAAUGAGAAAGGAGUUUGAUGCAUUGGAUGCCAACCAUACUUGGGAUGUUGUUCCCAUUCCUCCUGGUAAGAAACCCAUAGGAUGCAAAUGGGUCUAUAAGAUCAAAUACAAGGCUGAUGGUAGUGUUGAAAGAUAUAAGGCUAGGCUUGUUAUUAGAGGAGACACCCAAAUUAUGAGUUGAUUUCACAGAAACAUUUUCCCAUGUGAUUAAAAUGUCUACUGUUAAAUGCUUAAUUGUUGUGGCUGUUAAGAAACACUGGGCUCUUUUUCAACUUGAUGUUAACAAUGCCUUCUUGCAUGGUGACCUAGAUGAGGAAGUAUAUAUGAAGCUUCCUCCAGGUUUGAGUGUUUCUGAUUCUUCUGUUACUUCUGUUUCUUCUGUCUCCACUCCCAUUUUGUGCAAGUUGAACAAAUCCCUUUAUGGAUUAAGACAUGCUUCAAGACAAUGGUAUGCCAAAUUGUUUCAAGCUCUAUAUACCAGAGGCUAUACACAUUCUCUGAAUGAUUACUCUUUGUUUGUCAACGGUCAACUUGGGUGUCUUGUGGUUCUGGCAGUAUAUGUGGAUGACAUUAUUAUCACUGGAGAUGAUACUACUGAAAUUUGUGCCCUAAAACACUUCUUGGAUGAUCAGUUUAGGAUUAAAGACCUGGGGUCUUUACAUUAUUUUCUAGGAAUUGAGGUGUAUGUUAUUCCUGGUGGAGUGCUUCUUAAUCAGAAGAAAUUUGUAUCUGACUUGUUGCAUCAAUUUGAUUGUGCUAUUGUUUCUCCUGUUGUUUGUCCAUUAGACCUUAAUGCCAAACUUCAUGCUGAUUCUGGUGAUCUGUUCUCUGCUCCUGAUCAGUAUAGGAGCUUGAUUGGCAAGCUCCUCCUUUUGACACAUACCAGACCUGAUAUUUGCUUUGAUGUACAACAUUUGAGUCAGUUCUUGCAGUCUCCUAGACUUUCUCACAUGACUGCUGCCCUGCAUGUUCUUAGGUAUCUUAAGGGCACUAUGGAUUUGGGGCUUUUUUAUUCUGACUCCCCUGACUUUUCAAUACAUGCCUUUUCAGACAGUGAUUAGGCAGUAUGUCCUGAUACUCGCAGGUCUGUUACUGGUUUCUGUGUGAUUUUAGGUGGCAGUCUGGUAAGUUGGAAAUCCCAGAAACAACCAGUAGUCUCUUUAUCUUCUGCUGAAGCAUAAUACAGGGCUCUUAGUAAGGUGGUUGCUGAACUAUCUUGGCUUUCUAGAGUGCUCACUGAUCUUGGUGUUUCUGUGUCACUUUCAUUUUCUGUUUUUUUUUUGUGAUAACCAGGCUGCUCUACAUAUAGCCAAGAAUCCAGUCUUUCAUGAGCGGACCAAACAUAUUGAGGUUGAUUGUCAUUUUGUUCGACAUAAGCUUUCUGAUGGGCUAAUUUCUCUCUCUCAUGUCUCCACUUCUCAAAAGUUAGCUGAUGUCCUCACCAAGCCUUUGCCUGGCACUGUUCAUCAUCAUCUUUUGCGCAAGUUGUAGGUGGUUUCCCCCUCCAACUUGAGGGGGGUGUUGCGCUAAUGGAUUAUCUAGCCUCUAAGCCUAAACACAAACAC